This 586-nucleotide ribosomal RNA is filed under the name uncultured bacterium. RNAcentral's name for it is "partial 16S ribosomal RNA". It matches the Rfam family "Bacterial small subunit ribosomal RNA", at positions 355 to 1375 of the family's 1533-position model. The record is from RNAcentral.
UGGGGAAUUUUGGACAAUGGGCGAAAGCCUGAUCCAGCAAUGCCGCGUGUGUGAAGAAGGCCUUCGGGUUGUAAAGCACUUUUGUCCGGAAAGAAAUCCUUGGCUCUAAUACAGUCGGGGGAUGACGGUACCGGAAGAAUAAGCACCGGCUAACUACGUGCCGGCAGCCGCGGUAAUACGUAGGGUGCAAGCGUUAAUCGGAAUUACUGGGCGUAAAGCGUGCGCAGGCGGUUUGCUAAGACCGAUGUGAAAUCCCCGGGCUCAACCUGGGAACUGCAUUGGUGACUGGCAGGCUAGAGUAUGGCAGAGGGGGGUAGAAUUCCACGUGUAGCAGUGAAAUGCGUAGAGAUGUGGAGGAAUACCGAUGGCGAAGGCAGCCCCCUGGGCCAAUACUGACGCUCAUGCACGAAAGCGUGGGGAGCAAACAGGAUUAGAUACCCUGGUAGUCCACGCCCUAAAACGAUGUCAACUAGUUGUUGGGGAUUCAUUUCCUUAGUAACGUAGCUAACGCGUGAAGUUGACCGCCUGGGGAGUACGGUCGCAAGAUUAAAACUCAAAGGAAUUGACGGGGUCAUAGCUGUUUCCU